This 253-nucleotide ribosomal RNA is filed under the name uncultured bacterium. Its description in RNAcentral is "partial 16S ribosomal RNA". It matches the Rfam family "Bacterial small subunit ribosomal RNA", at positions 524 to 776 of the family's 1533-position model. The record is from RNAcentral.
UACGGAGGGUGCGAGCGUUGUUCGGAAUUACUGGGCGUAAAGGGCUCGUAGGUGGCCAACUAAGUCAGACGUGAAAUCCCUCGGCUUAACCGGGGAACUGCGUCUGAUACUGGAUGGCUUGAGUUCGGGAGAGGGAUGCGGAAUUCCAGGUGUAGCGGUGAAAUGCGUAGAUAUCUGGAGGAACACCGGUGGCGAAGGCGGCAUCCUGGACCGGCACUGACACUGAGGAGCGAAAGCCAGGGGAGCAAACGGG